RNAcentral lists this ribosomal RNA (226 nucleotides) under uncultured bacterium. Its description in RNAcentral is "partial 16S ribosomal RNA". It matches the Rfam family "Bacterial small subunit ribosomal RNA", at positions 14 to 231 of the family's 1533-position model. The record is from RNAcentral.
GACUCCUGGCUCAGGAUGAACGCUAGCUACAGGCUUAACACAUGCAAGUCGAGGGGCAGCAUGGUCUUAGCUUGCUAAGGCCGAUGGCGACCGGCGCACGGGUGAGUAACACGUAUCCAACCUGCCGUCUACUCUUGGACAGCCUUCUGAAAGGAAGAUUAAUACAAGAUGGCAUCAUGAGUCCGCAUGUUCACAUGAUUAAAGGUAUUCCGGUAGACGAUGGGGA